UGAAGGGCUAGCCUAGUGCAUACCAGAACUAGGGAUGUGACAGGCUCGACCUCUCGUGCCCUCGCCGCCAUCAACCUCUCCUGCACUCACACGCCAGCCGCCGAUCUCCCGCGCCCUCACACGCCAACAGCCGAAGUGGCUCUCCCCCGGAGGGGGCUCGUCCUUCCGUGGUGCUCAGCCACCAUCCGGUCUGGAGGGGGAAUAGGAGACCCCCAACAAAAACGAGCGUGCUAGUGGUGGACCCAAGGAUGCGCGGUGAUUGUGCCAGGUCCAUGCUGCAGUUCUUCUGUUGGGUGAGCUUCUUCACCCUUCUUGUCAAGGAGAUGUUCAUGUCUAGCUAGGUUCCUACAAAUGGUAUUCCUUUUGUUUCUUUCAGUCGACCAGAUGCUCAGAUCUAGCUAGGCUUCCAUGUAGAAAUUUUGUUGUCUUUUUAAGUUUGUUGGGUACCUCAGGUAAGUUUCUGCAAAGUGGAUUUUUGUUUGUUACUGCUCAAGAGAUGCUCUCAGAUCUAGCUAUAUUCCUGAAAUUUUUUUGUUGGCUUUCUUAGUUUGUUUGGUACCUUGAUCUUUCCUCGUCGAGAAGGGGAUAUAUUUGUCCUGGAGCUCCAUUUCUCUUUAUAGAGGAGUCUUUUGUUCCUUUGCUUGAUUUGGCGCCUGGCGUGGGCAUCUGUUUCAAGAGGGGACGACAUACAAUCAAUGCAAGUGUGCUUAGUUGUUGUAUGUAUGGCAGCUGCAGCAUCUUGCCAAUUAGUCCCCACUAAAAUUAAUUUUCCUCUCCAUCUUUUUGUCUCGUGGAUAUUGAUGCGAGUACUGUAGGUAAAUAAAUGUUCUAUGGGAAAACAUGCUGAUUCAGAACCAUAGCAAAUGGAACUGUGCUUUGUAAGUAACUGGUACAGACGCUAUUUAGAACCAUAGCAAAACAACUAUACAAUUAAAAUAUCCAUGACUAAUUUCCAAAGUACAGCAGCGCGGAAGCAACAACAGUCAUGUUCUCAAGGUUUGAUUUUGUAUAUAGAGCUAACGAUCUUUUGUCCUUGGACCCAUCAAGAUGGCCAUCCCCUACUCCGUCAGAGUCCCUUGCUAAAAAAAUCAGAAGUUUUCAGAUUUAGUUGUCAAAUGCUUAAUUAAGUUGACAAAGGUAUGUUGUCAUUUUUAUUUGACCAUUCUGAAUCUGUACAGAUAUCACUUCUGAAUGCAUAUGUCAUCUUUCAGGUUCUUCAGAGUACAAUAUAUGAGGUUGACCUUGAUUGCAUUCUUCAAAGUGUUCAUAUUUAUUUACAAGAACUUGGAAUGGAAGAGAUACCGAGGAGGGCUGGAGAUGAUAAAAAGCCAUUAAGAAUGGUCAAAACUGUGUUGCAUGAACUUGUAAAGCUAUGAGGCACAACAAUAAAAGGUCACCUUUCAAUGGUUCCUAUAGACUCUGAGCAUACAUUGAUCUUAAUCUUCAGACCCUUGCAGCGGCUAGGAUGUUAACCCCAUCUGGACCUAUGGGUCAAACUCACUUGGGUGAUGCUGCAUCGAACACUCCAAAUCCAUCAAUUCAUUCAACGGAUGCACAAUUGAAGGUUACUCCAAUUCCUUUCUCCUUCUAUCAAUGUCGUGCUUGUGGGUAAUUUUUUUUACUUGGAGUUCAUGGUACUGUAUGCAUUUAGAUUAUUUGCGUUUUGCCAAUCAAAAGUUCUGACUUAAACUGUACUACCAUUGCUAUCAUGGCAUUGUGCAUGGAUGAGCGCAAUGCACACGCUCGUUCUUUUGUUCUUAAAUACCACCAUAUUCCCCCAUCGUAGUUUCCUAAGAUGAUACUAUUAAAUAAUUUAUGCAUGAGUAUGUAUAAGAUAUUUUGUUACUCGGAUUAUAACUCUUGCCUGUGUUUGUUGAUCCAAACAAAGAUGUUUAUUCAAGGUUGGUUUGUUGAUAUUAUACAUUGAUUUGAUCCACUUUCCACAUUUCCAUUGUUAAACCCUAAACAGGCAUCCAUGUCCUUGGUCCCACUUCUUUACAUUUAUAAGCACUGUAAUCCUUUUUCAGUGGUGACUGUAAAUGAUUAUUUGGCACAGCGAGCUGCUGAAUGGAUGGGUCGCGUUCAUUGUUUUCUUGGCCUAACUGUCGGUCUAAUUGAGGUGUACUUCUACAUAAUGGUGUUGUCAUACUUUCUAGACCCCUUAUCAUUCUGGCUUGGAACCAGUCCGUUUCUGCGCUGUUACAGUAUUUUUAUAUAAAUGUAUGAUCGGAGGCAAACAUUCAACCUUCUUUCACUCUUUCAUCUGUGGCAUAUGCAUAGGCGGGUAUGAAGUCUGAUGAGAGGAGAGCCAACUAUAUGUGUGACAUUACAUACACUAAUAACUUGUUAAGAUGCUCAGUAGAACAACAACUUUAAGAUAGUUCUAUAGUGGCUAUUCAUCUGAGGACCUUUCUUCUUCUUGAAACUUGGUAUUAUAUGUUAAAGUUGUCUUCAUUUCAGAUUAGAAGUAAUAAUAAAAUAAGUUGUCUUUGAAUCUGCCUGUGAGCUGCGGCCAUACUUGUUAAUGAACCCUUUACCUGCUUAUCUUGGUUAUGUAGUACUUUAUAGUCAUAUCCCAUAUCAGUAUCCUUGUCUAAUUUAAGAUUGCUUUUCUUACUAUGAAGAAGAUUUGUGCUGCUGUAGUGUUCUUCAGUUUCUGGUGUUUAGAUGCCAGUUCAUUGUUGAGACAGUUAUGCUUUGUCCUUCUUCUGGAAAAUGCAGUAAGUAAAUUUUGUUUUCUGGACAUUUUCGCAGAUCCUAUU
Triticum aestivum (bread wheat) is the source of this 2762-nucleotide long non-coding RNA. RefSeq lists it as uncharacterized. The record is from RefSeq and is a predicted model, not a curated record. Lineage: Eukaryota; Viridiplantae; Streptophyta; Magnoliopsida; Poales; Poaceae. The transcript is spliced from 4 exons.